CCUACGGGAGGCUGCAGUGGGGAAUAUUGCACAAUGGGGGAAACCCUGAUGCAGCGACGCCGCGUGAGUGAAGAAGUAUUUCGGUAUGUAAAGCUCUAUCAGCAGGGAAGAAAAUGACGGUACCUGACUAAGAAGCCCCGGCUAACUACGUGCCAGCAGCCGCGGUAAUACGUAGGGGGCAAGCGUUAUCCGGAUUUACUGGGUGUAAAGGGAGCGUAGACGGCAGCACAAGUCUGGAGUGAAAUGCCGGGGCUUAACCCCGGAACUGCUUUGGAAACUGUGAAGCUAGAGUGCAGGAGAGGUAAGUGGAAUGCCUAGUGUAGCGGUGAAAUGCGUAGAUAUUAGGAGGAACAGCAGUGGCGAAGGCGGCUUACUGGACUGUAACUGACGUUGAGGCUCGAAAGCGUGGGGAGCAAACAGGAUUAGAUACCCGGGUAGUC
Molecule: ribosomal RNA, 440 nt
Filed under: uncultured bacterium
Lineage: Bacteria
Description: partial 16S ribosomal RNA
Rfam family: Bacterial small subunit ribosomal RNA
Source: RNAcentral